UACGUAGGGUCCAAGCGUUAUCCGGAUUUAUUGGGCGUAAAGAGCAUGUAGGUGGCUUUCUCUGUCUUGUCUUAAAUGUCCAGGCUCAACCUGGAAACUGGGCGAGAUACUGGAAGGCUAGUGGUCAGCAGGGGCAAAUGGAAUUCCCGGUGUAGGAGUGAAAUCCGUUGAUAUCGGGAGGAACACCAAUGGCGAAGGCAAUUUGCUAGGCUGAUUCAGACACUGAGAUGCGAAAGCGUGGGUAGCGAACGGG
This 253-nucleotide ribosomal RNA is filed under the name uncultured bacterium. RNAcentral describes it as "partial 16S ribosomal RNA". It matches the Rfam family "Bacterial small subunit ribosomal RNA", at positions 524 to 776 of the family's 1533-position model. The record is from RNAcentral.